UCUCUCCACAUUGUGCCGCUUUGCCGACGCAAUAGUCGCCCCGCAAAUAGGACACAUACAUUUAUCUUUCACUGUCGUGAAAAAGAACUCUUUCUCCCAGUCAUCGUGAAAAUAGCGUUUUCUCUUUCACUUUUAUUGUCAAGUUUUGGGGGUAAAAACCACAUCUAGCUUCCCAAAGUGUCUGCGCCCGGAAGCUUCAGCAGAAUGACGUGGUGGUUUGACAUGCGCAGUGAACUUUGACUCGGACAAAGUCAAAGUUCAUUUACACCGAAGACAUUUUUAUUUUUUUUUUUUUAAUUAUAAGAAAUAUUGUAAUUUAAAAUCUGCAUUAAUGUAAGUGUUUUUGAUUUUAAAAGAACAGCAACUAUAUUUUUUAAUAAGGAAUUUCAUGGUGACUAGUGUUAUUUUCAGAACAUGCGUUGUGGGCAACUCACAUGGUCUCUGCAGGCAACCAGGCGCCCGCGGGCACCGUGUUGGCUACCCCUGUGCUAGAACCCACUCUUCAGAUAUGUUUAAGAGGUGCAACAGAGGUGUGAGGGCUAAGCAUGAAUAUUUGUCAUGGCUUUGUGGCUGUGUAGCGUGUGAUUUGAAUCCGAAGCAUUACAGUAUGAAUGACUUCUGCUCAUAUCUUCUUGAAGGUGAUACAAAGAGCCUGUCUUGGCAGGCUCAUUUCAUAAGUUUUAUUCUAACUGUGUCAUGUAUUAAGAGGUGUAUUAGUCAAAAAUUUAUUUGGAUGAACUUAUUCUCACUGUCAACGCUGGUUUCUUAACCAAGAAGCUUAAAUUAGCUGAGUCUGGGAACUUGAAGCACAAAAAGUGUAAAUUUGUUAUCCACACAGUCCAUCGUAAAUAUUCAUAAGUUUGCAGAUGACUUUCCACUGUCCUAACUACUCACUGUAAUUGUGCACAUAUGGAUAUUGGUAUUAAACAUUUUAUAUGUGUUUACUUUUCCCUUAAAAGAAUAUUGAUUUAACAUAGCACCCUCUCUGACAUAUGACACUGGCAAACUCACAGACAGUUUAAAAUGUUUUCAAAGAUGGCCAAAAUUGAUGCAAUAGAAUGCAAGAUGUAUUGUGAUUUUUAUUCCACACAUUGUUCUACCCAGUCAGAGAUUCAGCUGCUACACUGGUAGCACUUAAUGCAGCCUGGAGCCUCUUGCCUAAAGCAGAGAUGAGCAGCAGGCAACAGAGGUUUGGUAAGCUCACUUCUUUUCAAUUCAGAAAAUUAAGUUUUCAUUUUCAAAUUUCGUCUUCAGGCCUAAGCAACACUUGAUGCAAUAGCUUAUCUAAUUAACACAUUUUGACUGCAUACAAGAGUAGCACUUCUGUAGCACACCUGUGAACAGACUUUAAUGUGUACAGUUGCUACAGUUCCCCUUUAAUAACUUUUGACAAUCUGUGUUAACUACUUGAUUGUUCCACUUUCUGAUGUAAUUGAAAGCUUCCAAACAGCUCCAGAGAAGCUCGUGGGAUAGGAUUACUUUUGUCGACUGCAGCUUCCCACUCAAGGAUAUACAUUUCACAAAUGAGAUCCAACUUAUAAUACAGUAGAAUUAGCGUCCAGACUCAAAGUUGAGGUGAAAUUUAAGUGUUGGCUUCUGUUAUAUAGUUUUUCUGAAAUGACUGUGGCAUUAAAAUUCAUAAUAGAAGGUUAAAGGGACUGCUUUUUAAUCCCCGAACCAUCCAAGUCUAUGUUUGGUCACAUUCUGAGCUUGAAAAGCCCCAUUUUAUCUGAUCUAGGUCACCCUUUGAAAACAAAACGCUGUUAGCAUUCAGAGGCAUAUGCUAACCUUGUUUUUCUAAUUUGCCAUCCCCUUAUCUAUGAAGAGAAGCUACAUGCCCAUUCAGUCAGAUACAUUCACAGCUGGGAGCUGCCCAGCACAGUCACAGUCCUCGGCUGUUAACCACAGAGCAGCAACACAAGGGCAAACUGGGGUUAAGUGCCUAUAUCAAGGGCAGUUUGAUGGUAUUCUUGGGGGAGGGAGAAAAACAUCCUCUUUCGCUUUCUCUGCUCAGAUUUUUCCCUGCUGCUCUGGGAUUUGUAGUAAAAACCAUCUAGCUAGAUGCCUGGUUAGGUUAGGUUAGGUUAGGUUAUCUUUAUUUUUUUUAAAAGGAGAAAUUUGUUCUGCAGCAAGAGUUCACAUAAUGACAAACAGCACAGGGAGAACAUAACAACAACCACAACAAAUCACAAAAACUGAUGCAGGAAAAUUUUAAUAUCAGGCCUUUGCAUGCAAGAUGUGUAACAGUGCAAAUGCGCCAGAGUAGUGAAAGGAACACAGUCAGAGCGCUAACUGCCAUUAAGAACAUCAAUAGCUCUUGGGAUAAAAGAGACAGAUGCCCUGAAACGACAGCCUGAAGGCAAUCGCUCAAACUCCCCAUGUAUUGGAUGGUCCUGGCAAUGUAAUAUAGGAUUAUCUUCCUAAGGACCUGUCUGUUGUAAAUGAAAAAGAGCUCCACCUGACUGCUCACUGAGAUCACUUUGUAAAAAAGAAAUUCCAAGUCUGUUAUUAUACUACAAAUUCAGAUUUCCAAACCAAGCAGUGAAAGGUUUAAACAGAUUCAAUGAAAUCAGCUCAGUGGAAUUGUUAAAAGAGUUAAUUUUUCUGAGGAACAGACCUUUAUAGAGGUAGCAUCAACACAGAAUUUAAAACAGCGCAAACACAUCCUACAGGAUUAGGAUUUGUUACACUUCCUGCUACCCAGCUGUCUCCUAGAUCAGUGGUGUAUAACCUCCAGUCAUCCACUGCUUCCUACGACAAUAACCAAUGUCCUACUUCUCCUCUCACUUGGCUCUAUGUGCCUCAUUCAGGACUUGCCAGUGGUUAUGAAGUCAGCCACAGAAACCUCCAGCGCACAGCCACCAUCUCUUGGCCCUCCACGCCUGACCAGCUGCCUUCUGGAAGGAGACUUGAAUUCAUCCUCUAAAGCUCAGAGAGAUCUGGGAGCCGGACGAGGUGGUCUGACCGAAGCUCCCUAAUGAGUCAAAGCUCCCCUGGACCUCACAGAUGAUAAAAGAGGCCCUCGUCCCAGAUUGUUCCCGUAACAUCAUCAUCUUUGGAUUGCCUCUGAAAGCUUCUCUCCGCUGGUGGCUCCUCGCAGUUUCCAGAGUGAUGGAUGGAUCUCGCCUCUGAUUGCUCCUUUUCAUAUUGUUCUCUGGCCACACAGGGCCGAUACCCCCUCAUUAAUAAACCUCAGUGAUUAAUUUUCAAACCUC
Amphiprion ocellaris (clown anemonefish) is the source of this 3215-nucleotide long non-coding RNA. RefSeq lists it as uncharacterized. The record is from RefSeq and is a predicted model, not a curated record. The transcript is spliced from 2 exons. Lineage: Eukaryota; Metazoa; Chordata; Actinopteri; Pomacentridae.